RNAcentral lists this ribosomal RNA (450 nucleotides) under uncultured bacterium. RNAcentral describes it as "partial 16S ribosomal RNA". It matches the Rfam family "Bacterial small subunit ribosomal RNA", at positions 354 to 796 of the family's 1533-position model. The record is from RNAcentral.
GUGGGGAAUUUUGGACAAUGGGCGCAAGCCUGAUCCAGCAAUGCCGCGUGCAGGAAGAAGGCCUUCGGGUUGUAAACUGCUUUUGUACGGAACGAAAAGGCUCUGGUUAAUACCUGGGGCUCAUGACGGUACCGUAAGAAUAAGCACCGGCUAACUACGUGCCAGCAGCCGCGGUAAUACGUAGGGUGCAAGCGUUAAUCGGAAUUACUGGGCGUAAAGCGUGCGCAGGCGGUUUUGUAAGACAGGCGUGAAAUCCCCGGGCUCAACCUGGGAAUUGCGCUUGUGACUGCAGUGCUGGAGUACGGCAGAGGGGGAUGGAAUUCCGCGUGUAGCAGUGAAAUGCGUAGAUAUGCGGAGGAACACCGAUGGCGAAGGCAGUCCCCUGGGCCUGUACUGACGCUCAUGCACGAAAGCGUGGGGAGCAAACAGGAUUAGAUACCCGAGUAGUCC